Hemicordylus capensis (graceful crag lizard) is the source of this 2469-nucleotide long non-coding RNA. RefSeq lists it as uncharacterized. The transcript is spliced from 6 exons. NCBI's taxonomy places the organism in Eukaryota, Metazoa, Chordata, Lepidosauria, Squamata, Cordylidae. The record is from RefSeq and is a predicted model, not a curated record.
UCUGAGUAGUCCUCACUGAAGCCUGAACUCAGCAGGCCCCAAGCAAGCUAGGAAGAAGGCAGGCAGAGUUCUCUGCAGCAGACCCUCUGCCCAGACCACCCAGCACAGCUUUUGCAAGUUACAGGACCACUCCCCUACUGCUCUACCAGUUUGGCACCGGCUACCAUUAUGUUUGGCAGAUAGGUUAGGACAAAAUUGCCUCAACUUGACACUGUCAGGACACUGCCUUACAUCAACAUGAUAAACAUUCAAAAGGAUGUGAUGAAGCAGUAUACUGAUCAAUACAGGGUCAAUAUGGGAACUGAACGUGACAAGAACAUGCUAAAAGCACCAGUCAAGGGUCAUCACCAUAAGGAGGUUUCGGAAGAGACUUGUUUGCAAGCUGAGAGUUGACUGAAAGAGAGAGAGCUGCAGCCGCAACUGAACAGUAACGCCAAGCAAGCAGGCAGGCUCUUCUUCCAACCCUGAGACCCCUGGGAGCUCUGAGAACACUCCCUCAAGGAUUAGGGUGCUGCAGCUGAAUGUCAGAUAAAGUCGCUCACAUCUGUGCUGACCUGGACUCCAGAAUUUUGGCAGUUCCAGCAGACGUGCUUCAGGGAGGCAGUGGAUGUCCUGAAUCAGGGAUUGGAGGCCGUGAUGGGUUGGACGUGAACUAAUAAACUGAGACUGAAUCCGGACAAGAUGGAGGUAAUGUUGGUCAGUAGGAGAGCCAAUCGGGAUGAGGUGAUUCUACCUGUUCUAGAUGGGGUUGCAUUCCCUUGAAGGAGCAAGUACGCAGCUUUGGGGUAUUACUGGACCCAGCUCUGCUUUUGGAAGCUCAGGUGGAGGUGGUGGCUAGGGGUGCCUUUGCACGGCUUUGGCUAGUGCACCAGCUGUGCCAAUAGUCUUUAUUUUGGUCUCAGCAAAGAACCAGACAAAAGGCUAAUGAAGGAGAUCCUUGUGAACUGCCUGACAGAAAGGGAUGUGCACAGCACUGGUGGGAGGUGGCUCAUGCGCAUGUGCAUUGGGAACUUCCGGUCACUUCUGGUCCGAGGCAACAGGGCGUCAGGGAGGUAUGCUGCUGCCCUGAUGGACCCUUUUAAAGUGCAGUGCUGGUGGGGAAAAUGUGGCAGGAGGGGUAAGAGCACCCUCCCUUGCCCUUAAAGGUAUCCUCCGCCUUCAGACCAGUCAAACUUCUGGUUGUUUGAACCUGUUCUGAAGCCCAUAAAAGGGCCUCUGAAGAGGCUUGUGCACAUCCCUACUGACAGAGUGAGGUGCUUUACACAGCAGUGUGAAGUACCAAAAUGGGUUUUGCGGGGAGAGCAGGUUUGACCUGCUCUCCUCACAGAUGAUUGCCUAGCCCUCCCUGGGUGCCUGGACUGAUGAUUACCAGCUUUGUCACAGAGCCAGUUGGGGUGGUGGAGUUUGGGGCCGAAGUCCCAGAAUGACUCAUGUGAGUGCGCGGGGCAUUCUCGGGAGCCUCCCAAUGCUGGGAGGCUACUUAUGGGUUGCCAUGGCACGGGGGUGUACUACAGCAACACAUGAUCUGAAAAACGGGGUUAGCAGAGCGUGCACUCUGCUAACCUCAUUUCGGGGGGGAUUUAAGCGGGCUUGCUGCCAGGAGCCGCUCAGCUCCCGUUGCUUCCCACAAUCGGGAGAAAUUGGGCAAGCCUUCCCUAGCCUGAUUUUUGCCAGUUGUGGGAAUAGCUUCAGUGCCUAGGCCAGGUAUACACAAUUUGAUGUAUACCUGGCCCAAUUAGCAAAACAUAGACUACCGGGAAUGUAUGGCAGCUCUUGAGUGUUCAGUUAAUCUCCUGGGGCAAUAUCCAGAGUGAGAUAGUCAUGAAUAAGUCCCUCUGAAAUUAAUGGAAUUUAUAUUUGUCAUGACUAACUCGUUCCAUAUAUUUCAGUGGUGCUUUUUGGAUGGUGUUUAGUCAUGACUACCUAGACUGGAUGCUGCCCAGGUCUUUUCACUGCCCAGGAAACUUUAAGCAUCUUGCAGGUCACAGUGCAUAGUUGGUGUCCAGUGUUAUGUACAAGUUAUGUAGGGAGCCAGAUGAAUACCAAUUUAUCAGAUGUUCUGUGAUGUCAGGUUAUCACCUACCCCUUGACUGCCAAUUGCCACAUAUGAUAACAAUUUCCACUGCUGGAGCACCUGGUAUUUUACCUGCAGCUGUGACCUCUGUAGCAAUGCCCACUGAGCUUAAUUUUCUAUGACUUCCACCCAAUAAAGCUUAAUUACAGAGUACAUUUGGAUAUAUGGCAAAGCGCUAGGAGUAAAACAGUAAAUUUAUCCAAUAAAAAUCUGUGGAUGUUUUAAUAUCCACAAUGAAUGUAUGAAAAUAGGCAGUAUGUCAGUGUGUCAAGAAUAUUUCCUUCUCAGUAAGCUGAAUUCCUGAGUCUCCAAACAUUUGUACUGUUCUACCCUCGAUCCCAGAAUUGUCUUGGCUAAAUUAUUAAUCAGUAAUUAAAUCUUAACUUGUACUCUGC